RNAcentral lists this ribosomal RNA (433 nucleotides) under uncultured bacterium. RNAcentral's name for it is "partial 16S ribosomal RNA". It matches the Rfam family "Bacterial small subunit ribosomal RNA", at positions 29 to 507 of the family's 1533-position model. The record is from RNAcentral.
AACGAACGCUGGCGGCAUGCCUAACACAUGCAAGUCGAACGAGACCUUCGGGUCUCGUGGCGCACGGGUGCGUAACGCGUGGGAACCUGCCCUUAGGUUCGGAAUAACUCCCCGAAAGGGGUGCUAAUACCGGAUAAUGUCUUCGGACCAAAGAUUUAUCGCCUUUGGAUGGGCCCGCGUUGGAUUAGCUAGUUGGUAGGGUAAAAGCCUACCAAGGCGACGAUCCAUAGCUGGUCUGAGAGGAUGAUCAGCCACACUGGGACUGAGACACGGCCCAGACUCCUACGGGAGGCAGCAGUGGGGAAUAUUGGACAAUGGGCGGAAGCCUGAUCCAGCAAUGCCGCGUGAGUGAUGAAGGCCUUAGGGUUGUAAAGCUCUUUUACCCGGGAUGAUAAUGACAGUACCGGGAGAAUAAGCUCCGGCUAACUCCGUG